This 24-nucleotide non-coding RNA is filed under the name Arabidopsis thaliana (thale cress). Lineage: Eukaryota; Viridiplantae; Streptophyta; Magnoliopsida; Brassicales; Brassicaceae. The record is from RNAcentral.
UUUGUGCCCGUUGCAUUGUUUGCC